This 498-nucleotide ribosomal RNA is filed under the name uncultured bacterium. RNAcentral's name for it is "partial 16S ribosomal RNA". It matches the Rfam family "Bacterial small subunit ribosomal RNA", at positions 29 to 507 of the family's 1533-position model. The record is from RNAcentral.
ACGAACGCUGGCGGCGUGCUUAACACCUGCAAGUCGCACGGGCCCGCUCUCUUUUUUGGGGGUGGGUUGAGUGGCGAACGGGUGAGUAUCACGUGAGUAACCUGCCCCCUGCUCCUGGAUAACUGCUUGAAAGGGCGGCUAAUACGGGGUGUGCCGGCUGGUCCGCAUGGGCCUGGUCGGGAUAGUUUCAUCUUCGGGUGUUUCGGUGGGGGAUGGGCUCGCGGCCUAUCAGCUUGUUGGUGGGGUGAUGGCCCACCAAGGCGGUGACGGGUAGCCGGCCUGAGAGGGUGGGCGGCCACACUGGGACUGAGACACGGCCCAGACUCCUGCGGGAGGCAGCAGUGGGGGGUAUUGCACAAUGGACGGAAGCCUGAGGCAGCGACGUCGCGUGAGGGAUGGAGGCCUUCGGGUUGUGAACCUCUUUCUCCGGUGGUGAAGGCCCUGUCCGUUGCGGCGGGGUUGACGGUAGCCGGGUAUGAAGCGCCGGCUAACUACGUG